Mycena metata is the source of this 89-nucleotide non-coding RNA. NCBI's taxonomy places the organism in Eukaryota, Fungi, Basidiomycota, Agaricomycetes, Agaricales, Mycenaceae. The record is from the annotation of a GenBank genome assembly.
UCGGACAUGGUGUAAGGUACACACUCUCGUUUCUUAGUGGGGUGACGCGAUGCAAGAGGGAAUCUGGGGUUCGACUCCCCGUGUCCGAA